UGGGGAAUAUUGGGCAAUGGACGCAAGUCUGACCCAGCGACGCCGCGUGAGGGAUGAAGGCCUUCGGGUUGUAAACCUCUUUCAGUAGGGAAGAAGCGAAAGUGACGGUACCUACAAAAGAAGCACCGGCUAACUAUGUGCCAGCAGCCGCGGUAAUACAUAGGGUGCAAGCGUUGUCCGGAUUUAUUGGGCGUAAAGAACUCGUAGGUGGUUUGUUACGUCGGAUGUGAAACUCUGGGGCUCAACCCCAGACCUGCAUCCGAUACGGGCAGACUAGAGUGUGGUAGGGGAGACUGGAAUUCCUGGUGUAGCGGUGGAAUGCGCAGAUAUCAGGAGGAACACCAAUGGCGAAGGCAGGUCUCUGGGCCAUUACUGACACUGAGGAGUGAAAGUGUGGGGAGCGAACAGG
Molecule: ribosomal RNA, 409 nt
Filed under: uncultured bacterium
Lineage: Bacteria
Description: bacterial SSU rRNA
Rfam family: Bacterial small subunit ribosomal RNA
Source: RNAcentral